This 73-nucleotide transfer RNA is filed under the name Paramuricea clavata. RNAcentral's name for it is "tRNA-Val". The record is from RNAcentral. Lineage: Eukaryota; Metazoa; Cnidaria; Anthozoa; Malacalcyonacea; Plexauridae.
GUUUCUGUAGUGUAGUAGUCAUCACAUGCGCUUGACGCGCCCAAGGUCCCCAGCUCGAUCCUGGGAAGAAGCA